This 69-nucleotide transfer RNA is filed under the name Scyliorhinus torazame (cloudy catshark). RNAcentral's name for it is "tRNA-Pro". It matches the Rfam family "tRNA". Rfam says of the family: Transfer RNA (tRNA) molecules are approximately 80 nucleotides in length. Their secondary structure includes four short double-helical elements and three loops (D, anti-codon, and T loops). Lineage: Eukaryota; Metazoa; Chordata; Chondrichthyes; Carcharhiniformes; Scyliorhinidae. RNAcentral also lists the same sequence under 1 other name. The record is from RNAcentral.
CAGAGGGCAGUUUAGGCAGAAUUUUGGCUUUGGGGGCCAAAGGCAGGAGUUUAACCCUCCUUCCUCUGA